UUUCACACUGUCAAGAAAAGCUUCUAUCGAGUUUAAAGGCGCCCGUACCGUAAACCGACACAGGUGGGUGAGGAGAGUAUCCUAAGGCCAGCGAGAGAACUAUUGUUAAGGAACUCGGCAAAAUGACCCCGUAACUUAGGGAGAAGGGGUGCCUGUCUAUGACAGGCCGCAGAGAAUAGGCCCAAGCGACUGUUUACCAAAAACACAGGUUUCUGCUAAGUCGCAAGACGAUGUAUAGGAGCUGACGCCUGCCCGGUGCUGGAAGGUUAAGGGGAUCUGUUAGAGCAAUCGAAGCAGUGAACUUAAGCCCCAGUAAACGGCGGCCGUAACUAUAACGGUCCUAAGGUAGCGAAAUUCCUUGUCGGGUAAGUUCCGACCCGCACGAAAGGCGUAACGAUUUGGGCACUGUCUCAACAAUAGACUCGGUGAAAUUGUAAUCCCGGUGAAGAUGCCGGGUACCUGCGACAGGACGGAAAGACCCCAUGGAGCUUUACUGUAGCUUGACGUUGGGUCUUGGUACUACAUGUACAGGAUAGGUGGGAGACUAUGAAGCAUGGACGCCAGUCUGUGUGGAGUCAUCCUUGGGAUACCACCCUUGUAGUACUGGGAUCCUAACCAUAGGCCUUGAAUCAGGUCUUGGAACACCGUCAGGUGGGCAGUUUGACUGGGGCGGUCGCCUCCUAAAAAGUAACGGAGGCGCUCAAAGGUUUCCUCAGCACGGUCGGAAAUCGUGCGAAGAGUGUAAAGGCAAAAGGAAGCUUGAUUGCAAGACAUACAGGUCGAGCAAGGACGAAAGUCGGACUUAGUGAUCCGGUGGUACCGCAUGGAAGGGCCAUCGCUCAACGGAUAAAAGCUACCCUGGGGAUAACAGGCUUAUCUCCCCCAAGAGUCCACAUCGACGGGGAGGUUUGGCACCUCGAUGUCGGCUCAUCACAUCCUGGGGCUGUAGUAGGUCCCAAGGGUUGGGCUGUUCGCCCAUUAAAGUGGUACGCGAGCUGGGUUCAGAACGUCGUGAGACAGUUCGGUCCCUAUCCGUCGCAGGCGUAGGAAAUUUGAGAAGACCUGUCCUUAGUACGAGAGGACCGGGAUGGACGUACCUCUGGUGUACCAGUUGUUCUGCCAAGGGCAUGGCUGGGUAGCUAUGUACGGAAUGGAUAAGCGCUGAAAGCAUCUAAGCGCGAAGCCAACUUCAAGAUAAGAUUUCCCACCGUAAGGGUAAGACCCCAGGAAGACUACCUGGUUGAUAGGUCGAAGGUGUAAGUGCAGUAAUGUAUUUAGCUUAUCGAUACUAAUAGGUCGAGGACUUGAUCG
This 1311-nucleotide ribosomal RNA is filed under the name metagenome. RNAcentral describes it as "bacterial LSU rRNA". It matches the Rfam family "Bacterial large subunit ribosomal RNA", at positions 1598 to 2925 of the family's 2925-position model. The record is from RNAcentral.